Molecule: transfer RNA, 77 nt
Filed under: Desulfovibrio sp. OttesenSCG-928-A18
Lineage: Bacteria; Pseudomonadati; Thermodesulfobacteriota; Desulfovibrionia; Desulfovibrionales; Desulfovibrionaceae
Description: tRNA-Arg
Rfam family: tRNA
About the family: Transfer RNA (tRNA) molecules are approximately 80 nucleotides in length. Their secondary structure includes four short double-helical elements and three loops (D, anti-codon, and T loops).
Source: RNAcentral
GUGGCUGUAGCUCAGUUGGAUAGAGCGCCAGCCUCCGGAGCUGGAGGCCGCAGGUUCGAUUCCUGCCAGCCACGCCA